ACUGCAAGUCGAGCGGACAGAAGGGAGCUUGCUCCCGGAUGUUAGCGGCGGACGGGUGAGUAACACGUGGGUAACCUGCCUGUAAGACUGGGAUAACUCCGGGAAACCGGAGCUAAUACCGGAUAGUUCCUUGAACCGCAUGGUUCAAGGAUGAAAGACGGUUUCGGCUGUCACUUACAGAUGGACCCGCGGCGCAUUAGCUAGUUGGUGAGGUAACGGCUCACCAAGGCGACGAUGCGUAGCCGACCUGAGAGGGUGAUCGGCCACACUGGGACUGAGACACGGCCCAGACUCCUACGGGAGGCAGCAGUAGGGAAUCUUCCGCAAUGGACGAAAGUCUGACGGAGCAACGCCGCGUGAGUGAUGAAGGUUUUCGGAUCGUAAAGCUCUGUUGUUAGGGAAGAACAAGUGCAAGAGUAACUGCUUGCACCUUGACGGUACCUAACCAGAAAGCCACGGCUAACUACGUGCCAGCAGCCGCGGUAAUACGUAGGUGGCAAGCGUUGUCCGGAAUUAUUGGGCGUAAAGGGCUCGCAGGCGGUUUCUUAAGUCUGAUGUGAAAGCCCCCGGCUCAACCGGGGAGGGUCAUUGGAAACUGGGAAACUUGAGUGCAGAAGAGGAGAGUGGAAUUCCACGUGUAGCGGUGAAAUGCGUAGAGAUGUGGAGGAACACCAGUGGCGAAGGCGACUCUCUGGUCUGUAACUGACGCUGAGGAGCGAAAGCGUGGGGAGCGAACAGGAUUAGAUACCCUGGUAGUCCACGCCGUAAACGAUGAGUGCUAAGUGUUAGGGGGUUUCCGCCCCUUAGUGCUGCAGCUAACGCAUUAAGCACUCCGCCUGGGGAGUACGGUCGCAAGACUGAAACUCAAAGGAAUUGACGGGGGCCCGCACAAGCGGUGGAGCAUGUGGUUUAAUUCGAAGCAACGCGAAGAACCUUACCAGGUCUUGACAUCCUCUGACAACCCUAGAGAUAGGGCUUUCCCUUCGGGGACAGAGUGACAGGUGGUGCAUGGUUGUCGUCAGCUCGUGUCGUGAGAUGUUGGGUUAAGUCCGCAACGAGCGCAACCCUUGAUCUUAGUUGCCAGCAUUCAGUUGGGCACUCUAAGGUGACUGCCGGUGACAAACCGAAAAAGGUGGGGAUGACGUCAAAUCAUCAUGCCCCUUAUGACCUGGGCUACACACUUGCUACAAUGGACAAAAAAAAAGGUGCGAACCGCAAGGUUUACCA
RNAcentral lists this ribosomal RNA (1227 nucleotides) under Bacillus aerophilus. RNAcentral describes it as "bacterial SSU rRNA". It matches the Rfam family "Bacterial small subunit ribosomal RNA", at positions 53 to 1269 of the family's 1533-position model. The record is from RNAcentral. Lineage: Bacteria; Bacillati; Bacillota; Bacilli; Caryophanales; Bacillaceae.